UUCCGGUUGAUCCUGCCGGAGGUCAUUGCUAUUGGAGUCCGAUUUAGCCAUGCUAGUCGCACGGGUUUAGGCCCGUGGCAAAUAGCUCAGUAACACGUGGUCAAACUACCCUGUCGAGCGCGAUAACCUCGGGAAACUGAGGCUAAUAGCGCAUACGGCUCGAUGCCUGGAACUGGCUCGAGCUCGAAACGCUCCGGCGCGACAGGAUGUGGCUGCGGCCGAUUAGGUAGACGGUGGGGUAACGGCCCACCGUGCCGAUAAUCGGUACGGGUUGUGAGAGCAAGAGCCCGGAGACGGUAUCUGAGACAAGAUACCGGGCCCUACGGGGCGCAGCAGGCGCGAAACCUUUACACUGCACGACAGUGCGAUAAGGGGACUCCAAGUGCGAGGGCAUAUCGUCCUCGCUUUUUCCUACCGUAAGGUGGUAGGCGAAUAAGGGCUGGGCAAGACCGGUGCCAGCCGCCGCGGUAAUACCGGCAGCCCAAGUGAUGACCGCUAUUAUUGGGCCUAAAGCGUCCGUAGCCGGCCGAACAAGUCCGUCGGGAAAUCCGCACGCCUAACGUGCGGGCGUCCGGCGGAAACUGUUCGGCUUGGGACCGGAAGAUCCAGAGGGUACGUCUGGGGUAGGAGUGAAAUCCCGUAAUCCUGGACGGACCACCGGUGGCGAAAGCGCUCUGGAAGGACGGAUCCGACGGUGAGGGACGAAAGCUAGGGUCACGAACCGGAUUAGAUACCCGGGUAGUCCUAGCCGUAAACGAUGUCUGCUAGGUGUGGCGCUGGCUACGAGCCAGCGCUGUGCCGUAGGGAAGCCGUGAAGCAGACCGCCUGGGAAGUACGUCUGCAAGGAUGAAACUUAAAGGAAUUGGCGGGGGAGCACUACAACCGGAGGAGCCUGCGGUUUAAUUGGAUUCAACGCCGGA
RNAcentral lists this ribosomal RNA (920 nucleotides) under uncultured archaeon. Its description in RNAcentral is "bacterial SSU rRNA". It matches the Rfam family "Archaeal small subunit ribosomal RNA", at positions 1 to 922 of the family's 1478-position model. The record is from RNAcentral.